Molecule: ribosomal RNA, 432 nt
Filed under: uncultured prokaryote
Description: bacterial SSU rRNA
Rfam family: Bacterial small subunit ribosomal RNA
Source: RNAcentral
UGGAGAAUCUUGCGCAAUGGGCGAAAGCCUGACGCAGCCACGCCGCGUGAGGGAAGAAGGCCUUCGGGUUGUAAACCUCUUUCAGCAGGGAAGAAGCCCUUCGGGUGACGGUACCUGCAGAAGAAGCCCCGGCCAACUACGUGCCAGCAGCCGCGGUAAUACGUAGGGGGCGAGCGUUGUCCGGAAUCAUUGGGCGUAAAGGGCACGUAGGCGGCCCCGUAAGUCGGAUGUGAAAGCCCGGAGCUCAACUCCGGAAUUGCAUUCGAUACUGCAGGGCUUGAGGAAGGUAGAGGAGAGUGGAAUUCCCGGUGUAGCGGUGGAAUGCGCAGAUAUCGGGAGGAACACCAGCGGCGAAGGCGGCUCUCUGGGCCUUUCCUGACGCUGAGGUGCGAAAGCGUGGGGAGCGAACAGGAUUAGAUACCCCCGUAGUCC